RNAcentral lists this ribosomal RNA (1399 nucleotides) under Oenococcus oeni. RNAcentral's name for it is "bacterial LSU rRNA". It matches the Rfam family "Bacterial large subunit ribosomal RNA", at positions 272 to 1686 of the family's 2925-position model. Lineage: Bacteria; Bacillati; Bacillota; Bacilli; Lactobacillales; Lactobacillaceae. The record is from RNAcentral.
AACCUGGAUGCUUGCAUCCAGGGGUUGUAGGACUGAUGUUGAGUUACAAAGGUAUAAGAUAGCAGAAACAGUUGGGAAGCUGUUCCAAAGAGGGUGACAGGCCCGUAUGCGAAAUCUUGUACUCUCUAAUCAGGAUCCUGAGUACGGCCCAGCACGUGAAAUUGGGUCGGAAUCUGGGAGGACCAUCUCCCAAGGCUAAAUACUAACUAGUGACCGAUAGCGAACAAGUACCGUGAGGGAAAGGUGAAAAGAACCCCGGAAGGGGAGUGAAAUAGUUCUUGAAACCGUGUGCUUACAAGAAGUUCGAGGCCGUUAAUGGCUGAGAGCGUGCUUUUUGUAGAAUGAACCGGAGAGUUACGAUUGCGUGCAAGGUUAAGGUGCAAAGACUGGAGCCGUAGCGAAAGCGAGUCUUAAUAGGGCGAAUCAGUACGUAGUUGUAGACCCGAAACCGAGUGACCUAUCCAUGGUCAGGUUGAAGGUGGGGUAAUACCUACUGGAGGACCGAACAAGUGGGUGUUAAAAAACCCUUUGAUGAACUGUGGAUAGCGGUGAAAUUCCAAUCGAACUCGGAGAUAGCUGGUUCUAUCCGAAAUACAUUUAGGUGUAGCCUUGCAAUUAGCUUACUGGAGGUAGAGCACUAUUUGGUCUAGGGGCCCUUCAAGGGUUACCAAAAUCAGAUAAACUCCGAAUGCCAGCUAAGUAUGUGCAGGAGUCAGACGGUGAGUGAUAAGAUCCAUCGUCAAAAGGGGAACAGCCCAGAUCACCAGUUAAGGUCCCUAAAUAUAUGCUAAGUGGAAAACGUUGUGAAGGUGCAUAGACAACUAGGAGGUUGGCUCAGAAGCAGCCACCCUUUAAAGAGUGCGUAAUAGCUCACUAGUCGAGUGCUCUUGCGCGGAUAAUGUACCGGGGCUAAGCAUAUUACCGAAACUGUGGAUGCGUAAGCAUGGUAGGAUAGCGUAAUUAACGCGAUGAAGGAUGACCGUAAGGACAUGUUGGAGCGUUAACUAGUGAGAAUUCCGGUAUGAGUAGCGAAAGAUAGGUGAGAAUCCUAUCCACCGAAUGAGUAAGGUUUCCCCCGGAAGGCUCGUCCGCGGGGGGUUAGUCGGGACCUAAGGCGAGGCUGAAAAGCGUAGUCGAUGGACAACAGGUUGAUAUUCCUGUACCGAUAUUUAAUUGCCGAAGGAAGGACGCAGAAGGAUAACACAGGCCACUAUUGGAUGUGGUUUUAAACAGUUAGUCUUCAUAAGAGUCAAAUGCUUUUAUGUUUAAGGAUAAGCUGUGAAUGUACCAAGUUUACUUGGAAAUUGUGUGAUUUCACGCUGCUGAAAAAAGUUUCGUAGGAAGAAAAUAUUGCCCGUACCGCAAACCGACACAGGUACUCAAGUGGAGAACACUAAGG